AUGUCGGGCAGGGCGGUCGCUGGCGUCCGGAGAGACGCCAGAGGAAAGUCCGAGCUGCAGAGAGCAGGGUGCCUGGUGUCAAACCAGGGCAGCGGUGACCGGCGCCGCUGACAGUCCAGAUCGGCACGUCGACGAUUGGUCGACGUGAGAGCAACAGAGACGAUGACCGGGUUUGUCCCGGGGUGAAAAGGGCAAUCCUCCCCGCAGCAAUCUCCGAACGGGCCAUUACCAGGUUGCUCGCCGAGGCCCGAGGUUGAGAGCAGUCGCGGAGGUGACGAAGCGACCGUCCGUGGUAAUCCACGGGCGAGAGAGAUGACCGCCAAGAACAGAACUCGGCUUACUCGCCCGGCAUCGCU
RNAcentral lists this RNase P RNA (356 nucleotides) under Thermomicrobium roseum. RNAcentral's name for it is "RNase P RNA component class A". It matches the Rfam family "Bacterial RNase P class A". From Rfam's summary of the family: Ribonuclease P (RNase P) is a ubiquitous endoribonuclease, found in archaea, bacteria and eukarya as well as chloroplasts and mitochondria. Its best characterised activity is the generation of mature 5'-ends of tRNAs by cleaving the 5'-leader elements of precursor-tRNAs. Cellular RNase Ps are ribonucleoproteins. Lineage: Bacteria; Pseudomonadati; Thermomicrobiota; Thermomicrobia; Thermomicrobiales; Thermomicrobiaceae. The record is from RNAcentral.